RNAcentral lists this transfer RNA (73 nucleotides) under Stylodipus telum (thick-tailed three-toed jerboa). RNAcentral describes it as "tRNA-Gln". It matches the Rfam family "tRNA". Rfam says of the family: Transfer RNA (tRNA) molecules are approximately 80 nucleotides in length. The record is from RNAcentral. Lineage: Eukaryota; Metazoa; Chordata; Mammalia; Rodentia; Dipodidae.
UAGAAUAUAGUGUAAUUAGGUAGCACGAAGAUUUUUGAAUUCUUAAGAGUAGGUUCGAGUCCUAUAAUUCUAG